AGCGCGCGCAGGCGGCCUUUUAAGUUGGAUGUGAAAGCCUAUGGCUCAACCAUAGAACUGCAUCCAAAACUAUCAGGCUAGAGUGUGGGAGAGGAAGAUGGAAUUAGUUGUGUAGGGGUAAAAUCCGUAGAGAUAACUAGGAAUACCAAAAGCGAAGGCAAUCUUCUGGAACAUUACUGACGCUGAGGCGCGAAAGCGUGGGGAGCAAACAGGAUUAGAUACCCUGGUAGUCCACGCCCUAAACGAUGAAUGUUAGUCGUCGGGUAGCUAGUCUAUUCGGUGAUGCAGCUAACGCAUUAAACAUUCCGCCUGGGGAGUACGGUCGCAAGAUUAAAACUCAAAGGAAUAGACGGGGACCCGCACAAGUGGUGGAGCAUGUGGUUUAAUUCGAAGAUACGCGAAGAACCUUACCUAGCCUUGACAUAUUUAAGAACACUUUAGAGAUAGAGUGGUGCCUUCGGGAGCUUUUAUACAGGUGCUGCACGGCUGUCGUCAGCUCGUGUCGUGAGAAGUUGGGUUAAGUCCCGCAACGAGCGCAACCCUCGUCACUAGUUACUAACGGUUCGGCCGAGGACUCUAGUGAGACUGCCUUCGCAAGGAGGAGGAAGGUGAGGACGACGUCAAGUCAUCAUGGCCCUUACGGCUAGGGCAACACACGUGCUACAAUGGCCAGGACAAUGA
RNAcentral lists this ribosomal RNA (681 nucleotides) under uncultured bacterium. RNAcentral describes it as "bacterial SSU rRNA". It matches the Rfam family "Bacterial small subunit ribosomal RNA", at positions 564 to 1245 of the family's 1533-position model. The record is from RNAcentral.